AACGAACGCUGGCGGCGUGCCUAACACAUGCAAGUCGAGGGGUAACAGUUUGUGCUUGCACAAAGCUGACGACCGGCGCACGGGUGCGUAACGCGUAUAGAACCUACCUUAUUCAGGGGGAUAGCCCAGAGAAAUUUGGAUUAAUACCCCAUAGUAUUAUAGAUUGGCAUCGAUUUAUAAUUAAAGAUUUAUUGGGAUAAGAUGGCUAUGCGUUCUAUUAGUUAGUUGGUAAGGUAACGGCUUACCAAGACUACGAUAGAUAGGGGCCCUGAGAGGGGGAUCCCCCACACUGGUACUGAGACACGGACCAG
This 311-nucleotide ribosomal RNA is filed under the name uncultured bacterium. Its description in RNAcentral is "bacterial SSU rRNA". It matches the Rfam family "Bacterial small subunit ribosomal RNA", at positions 29 to 334 of the family's 1533-position model. The record is from RNAcentral.